RNAcentral lists this transfer RNA (60 nucleotides) under Ornithodoros tabajara. RNAcentral's name for it is "tRNA-Arg". Lineage: Eukaryota; Metazoa; Arthropoda; Arachnida; Ixodida; Argasidae. The record is from RNAcentral.
AAAAAUGAAGCAAUCAUUGCAAUCAGUUUCGACCUGAUUUAUUGGAAAUACCCAUUUUUA